Molecule: non-coding RNA, 5108 nt
Organism: Podarcis lilfordi (Lilford's wall lizard)
Lineage: Eukaryota; Metazoa; Chordata; Lepidosauria; Squamata; Lacertidae
Source: the annotation of a GenBank genome assembly
CUGCCACAUCCAAAAGGGAAGAAAAAGAGACAGGACCACAAAAUGGUGUGGGUGCAUAACCCAUCAGCCACCCACUCAGUGGGGAAAAGGUAUCACCUGCUGCCAUACUGAAUCAUUGUUUGUUGUUGUUUUAAAAAAGGUGCUCCCUGCACCUCUCCCAAGUUCAGAACAGACAAGAGGGUGGGUCUCCAAUGCUGCCAUACAAUGUAAUGUAGGCAUUUGGGUGGCAGGGGGGUUAAUAAUGUAGGAGAGGCUAAGACACUGCAAACAGGACCCAAGCAGAAAGAUCAUUUUAUUCAAGAUUUUAUUUUGAGGGGAUAUUUACUGUGACCUUUUGUGAGCACCAUAUUAGGUUCUGGCAGGCACACACUGGGAAUCCUUGUAUUAAGCAGAUUCCAACUGAACCACCUAAUCCAGCUCUCCUGGCACCGAAGCCAACCCACACAGUUCCACUGUGUGUAUGAACACUGAAGCCACACAAGGAACACCAGUUACACAGGUCUUUCUAAUCUAGUCAUUGCUGGAGGGAUGUAUAAAUGGAGCAAUUGUUAGCACCGAAUCUGGGAGGUUAUCUGUCUAAUUUCCAUAUUCUAUCUCAUGGUCACAUUCUAAUGUCAUAGUUCAACAUGAACAAAAUAAUGCACUGAGGGAUUACAUCAGUAAAGAGGUCGGACGGAAGGAAUUUAGUUAUCAGUUGUUGUCAUUGGAUUCUGUGGAGCAGAAGAAAUGAUGGUUAACAGGCCAGUGGCUCCCCUUUCACCCCAAGGAAUUGGUGUCAACAGGGCGAAGAGACUGGGUUAGCCUUUACUCAAAUGAGGCAGUAUCCAACUAAGUUUUACUCAAGAGUAGAGCCACAGGAAUAAGUGUACAUGACUAAGUUAGGUUCAUUCAUUUCAAUGGAUGUACUGUAAGUAGAAUUUAUUUAUUGAAAUUUUAUAUUCCAUUUUUCACCACGUAGGUCUCAACAUUAACAUAUACAAUAUACAAAUUUUAAAACACCCCCAUUAAAACCUCAAGAAAACAAAAACACAAAACAUGAGAAGCAUUCAGGGUGCAAAGGCCUCCUGAAAUGAAAUUAAGCAGGUACCUGAAACUCAAUAGGCAUGGUGCCUGUCUAACUCCUUGUCAGAGGGAGUUCCAUAGAGUUUGGCCCCAGACUCUGAAGGCACAACUAUUUGUUGACAUGAGUCAGAGACGGAGCCACUAAAAGGAUCCCCUGCUCCCUGAUGAUCUCAGUGAUCAACUUGGGGUGUACGGGGAAAUGUGAUCCUUAAGCUACCCUGGGCCCAAGUUAUUCAGAUCUUUGUGCACUAGAACCUUCAACUUGACCAGGUAGCAGAUGGGAAGCCAGUGCAAGCCUCAGGUUCAAUUCCCAGCAUCCCAGGGUAAGGCUGGGGAAAAUUCCUGUCUGAAGUCCUGGAGAGUCUGUCACGGAGAAUGCUGCCUCUCAGGCCGCCACCAUGCCAAGCCUCUGCUGAUCUAAACACCUCUGAGAGGGUUUGUAGGGAAGGAGGUAAGCUUUAUGAUAUUUGGGUCCUAAGUCACACUAAUGUGACCACCUUGAAUUGGGCCCUGAAGUGAACUAGCAACCAUGCCAGCUGUUUUAAACCAGAGCCUAUGUGAGAUCUACAUGGAACCCCAGACAUAAAUCUUGUUGCAUUUUGGAUCAAAUAAAGCUUUUUCAAGUUGUCUUCAAUGGCAGCCCUGUGUAGUGUGCACUGCAACAAUCCAAUAUUGAAGUUACCAGAGCAUGGAGUAGAGUGGCCAGAUCCUGUUUCCAAAAGGGGUUUCUGCUGGCAAAUCAGCUGGAGCUGAGAAAAGGCACUCCUAGCCAUCAAGGCCACCUGAGUCUCCAAGAGCAUCCCCAAAAUGAAACCCCCAGGGCAGGAUGCUUCCCCACCUCCUAGACUGAGAACACUUUUUUUUUUCCAGGAUUUAGUGUGAUUCAAUGAAUGCCCCAUGUUUGCAUGUCCUGUGGCAUUGAUUCUGAAUGUCCCUCUAAUAUACACCCUCCUUGCAGUUCAGUUCCUCUCCUCACUCCAUGUCUCUCCUCUGCUUACCAAAAGAUAACCUGUACAGAAUCUAAACUGGGUGGCUGGUUUCUUGUCAUUGGUGAGUCAACAACAUCACUUUGAGAGGAAGGGGUUUGGUUCCCUAUUCACAGCCAUCACCAAAAACAUCUGGAAAUCAAUGAACUGCUUCCAGGAACACCGUGUCUUUUCUAGAGCAGUGGAGACAUAAAUUCCAGCUACCAGUUGUGCAAUCAAAUACACACACAGUACAAACCUUGCCAGCAUCCGAGCAAAAUAAAGUCAGCAUUUGUGAGUAAACAUUCACAAAAUGAAUGAAUGGUACUGGCAGGGUUCUCAUUUGUUGGGGCCUGAGAGCAAGCACCUUGGAAACAAAACAAGUGCUAACAUUUGCUGGAACGUUUGUGUCAACAUAUAAGGCCAACACAUUUCUCGGCCAGAAAGUGUUGCCACAAUUGGGGCAAAAAGGCAGACCACCCAAAAUGUGCUUGAUCCAACUCACCUAGAAAAGGAUAUUGCAGAGAUAGACAAGGCUAAGAAAAAGGCAACCAACAUGACCAAGGGACUGGAGAAAUUCUCCUGGGGUGGGGGGAGAUUGCCUCAUUUGCGACUUUUUAAUUUAGCGAGGGAAAGUAAGGUACAUGAUGAAGGUAAAUAAGAUUAUGGAGAAAGCAGACCCCCACGUUGCAAAAAUGCAUUUAAAAAGAAGAAUCAACAAAUAAAAGGCAAGUUGAAAACCUAAAACUAAGGACUAAAAACAGUUCUGACUACAAAUUGUAUCUAAAAUGCCUGGGAGAAAUGGGGAAGUGUUAACCAGAUUCAGAAAAUCUUCAGCUGUUGCCAAAUGUGUCUCCUUAGGGACAGCAUUCCAUAAUCAGGGAUCACCACAGAAAAGUAAUGAAAAAGGGUGGGUGGGUAUUUGUAGGAGAGAUUCACCCUUGCAAAUGUUACACAAAUAUACACACUUAUACCCAUAUGUAGUGGAGACUGGUGCUCAUUGUGGGUAGUAGGGCAGGAGGCAGGGAAGCCAAUGGCAGCUGGAGAUGCUGUGUACACACCAGACGUGUAAUGUACUUUGCUUCCCCCAGUGGAUCCUGGGAACUGUAGCUUACUCCUCAGAGUAAGGAGAGGAGGGGGGGUAAUAUGUGUUUAUAUAAUGUGUACACAACCAUUGACAAGCAGAGCUAACCAGUUCUAGCUUUGUCCUCAUCUUCCUCCUUGCUAAGUUUCACUCAGACACAACUGAGACUAAGAAGGAGGAAGCAGAGAGCCAAGAAGACCACCCCUUGGCCUGGUUGUAAGGCGGCAGGCAGGUGGGCUUGAGGCUGCAGGGGCAGAGCCCUGUUUGCCCUAAUAGAUCAGUUUCCACUUCAGCCUUCUUCAGAUGUUUUGCCCUCCAGAUGUUUUGGAUUGCAAUCCCCACCAGACCCAACCAGCCAUUGCUGGUGGAACAUGUAGUCUGGAGGGCACCAGGAAGAGGAAGACUCUUCUAAAGGUUCCACAGCGGCAAGAUGGGGAAGAACCCCCCUCCCCCCCACACCUACACAAACAAACAAACAAACAAACAAACAAACAAACAGAUAAUUUCAUCCCUCAGGCUGGAGCAACUCCUUUCAAGCAGCUUGACUGUAUCUUCUUGGUUCUAUCAUGGCAGCCCUCUCUCCCAAGACCUGGCACAAAUUGACAGCACCAGUGUUGAAGUGUGAACUGCAGUAGUGUAUCAUCAUUAUGACAUAAUGAUAAUUCUCUCUCUCUCUCUCUUUCAAAUCACUCAACAGAAACCCCUUGUGAUGCAACAUGAACCCUUCAGGGCAGGUAGGACAGUUUAACUUCAUUGUCUGCUCCCUCCUCCCACGUUCCACCUUAAGAUGAUGACUUAAUGCAGACUCCAGGCAUCACUAUCAUUGAGUGUGCUUUUUUUCAGCCCUGCUGCAUUUAACAUCUAGCCUCAUGAUGUGUUCCAGAGAAUACAGAAGCUUGCUCACUGUUACUGUUUUGUGGUACUUUGGCUGGUGUCAUAAGUCCUACAAUCCCUGUUUGGCCGUGAAGCUCACUGGGCAACCCUAAGCCAGUCACCAUCUCUACCUACCCUCCUAGCUUCCACGGUUGUUGUGAGAAUAACAUUGGGAGAUGGCACUGAACUAUAAAUUCAUUAAAGUAUAAAAUAAUAAAAUACAGAACAAAUGGCUCAUGCUGAAUCAAAUUGUCUAAGAAUGGCAAAAAAGGAAAUAUUUUCAUCAGGAGAUGGAAUGUCAAAACUGUCUGAUUUAAAUGCAGUUCAUUAAUAAUUAAAAAGGAAAGAAAGAAAAGAAAAAUUAAUAAAAAUGUGGAUUUUGGAAUUCACCUUUGCUAUGUAAGUUUUUGCUUAAUCCCAUCAGCACGAACCUUUGCAACACAAUCAUAUUUCUCAGGAACUGCCCCCCUCACUUUUACUUCUCUUUCCCUUUGGUCACACAAUGGCUGACUCACCCUUGAGUCAGCAUUAAACAUGUUCCCAGAUAAAACUACUGCACUGCACCCGGAAGGAGUUUGCACAUGGCACUAGAUAUGUUUGUAUUGCCAUGUGUUGGGGCCGAGGGAACUGUGUUUGCACACAGCACAGGAGACUGAGCAAGAGGAGCAGUGCCUGCUUUGAAUGGGGUGCAGAGGAAAAUGCAAAUGAAAGGCAUACCGUGUGUACAGGACUCAGUGUGCUUUGUUCAAAAAGUUCAGUGACAGAAGUCUGUUUCUUCUCCAAAAUAGAAACCUCAGUCAUUUCCAGUUCUUGUUCUCUGUGUGGAUGGGUGUGCAUACACAGUGAUCUAACAUGAUUACUAGAUUCACCCCACACAACAGCAAGCAACCCUAAAGAUAUCAGAUUUAUUAUUGCGACCUGUAGCGCUGUCAAGGCAGAACUUUGGGGCAGUAGUCCAGGGCCCCCCAUUCAGAAGAAUAAGCCCCCAAAUGCAGCAGGGCUGAAUUAGGAAGCAAAUGAAAUAAUGCACAGUACCAUUUAGUCAUGCUGGCCACAUGACCCGGAAGCUGUGCACCGGCUCCCUCGGCCAAUAAAGCGAGAUGAGCGCCGCAACCCCAGAGUCA